UACGUAGGGUGCAAGCGUUGUCCGGAAUUAUUGGGCGUAAAGAGCUCGUAGGCGGUCUGUCGCGUCUGCUGUGAAAACCUGGGGCUUAACCCCGGGCCUGCAGUGGGUACGGGCAGACUAGAGUGUGGUAGGGGAGACUGGAAUUCCUGGUGUAGCGGUGAAAUGCGCAGAUAUCAGGAGGAACACCGGUGGCGAAGGCGGGUCUCUGGGCCAUAACUGACGCUGAGGUGCGAAAGCGUGGGGAGCAAACAGG
RNAcentral lists this ribosomal RNA (253 nucleotides) under uncultured bacterium. RNAcentral's name for it is "partial 16S ribosomal RNA". It matches the Rfam family "Bacterial small subunit ribosomal RNA", at positions 524 to 776 of the family's 1533-position model. The record is from RNAcentral.